GUCUGGUAGUUACAAUGCAGAUUGCAAUCUCUUAGUUUCACCCCCUUUAUUUCAAGCAAUAAGAUGAUUCGCGCACAUAUUUUUUACUCUAAAUUUUUCAGAUUCUUAAGAAUUUGUUUAUUAAAUCUUAUAUUGACCACAUACAAUGUUUAAAUAGGAAGAAAUGCUUAAAAGCUGUUUUUUCGCAGAUGGCGGUAUUUUGGGCAACUGUAUGAGUUGUUAUGAUUUGCUGUUUGAUUAGAAGUAAGCAUAAUUUUAGGAAAUUUUAUGAUGUCAAAAACUUCUUUGAUAGUCAUUACAGGGUUUUACUUAGUUUUAAUUGAUUAGCAUUUGCACCAGAAAGAAAAAUUUGGGUUUUCACACAUUUUGUUAACUUUUACUCGAAUUUCAGGAAACAUGUGCUAUCUGUCAAAAACACGCUUUAAAUAUUAAAAAAUGCAUUUGAAUAAUGACUGUUAAUCUCUCUGCUAAAAGUUUAAAUUGUUUGCAUAUGUGAAUUUAGUAUAUAAAAGUCAUAUUAUGCAAUCAGGCUGAAAUCUUAGAAAAUAUGCACUUAUUCGUCCUUGGCCUUUGAUCUUGAUUUGACGGAAAUUGCACCGUACGAUUUUUUUACGACCGGGCAAAACAGAUAGUACAGAUGUGUAGCUUUCAAAUGAUAUAUAAUUUAGCCGUGUGUUAGGUAGGUGCAUUAAAAAU
RNAcentral lists this long non-coding RNA (696 nucleotides) under Mytilus galloprovincialis (Mediterranean mussel). The record is from RNAcentral. Lineage: Eukaryota; Metazoa; Mollusca; Bivalvia; Mytilida; Mytilidae.